Molecule: long non-coding RNA, 15978 nt
Filed under: Zea mays
Lineage: Eukaryota; Viridiplantae; Streptophyta; Magnoliopsida; Poales; Poaceae
Description: long non-coding RNA (ZMAY_LNC005042)
Source: RNAcentral
UGGCCUAGCAAGGAUUCUAAUGCUUAGCUUCUGUUUCCAUAUCAAGUUUAUGUCAUAAUUACUUUUUUAAACUGUUGGAUUUAUUUUGGAAAUUAGGGUGUGUUCAUUUCUGUGUCGCAUUCAUGGUUCCAAAUUGAUUUGGGUUUGGUGUUCAUUUAUCUUUGCAUGUGUUGCAGUGAAGGAGGAAUGGGUGGAGGGACGAGCAAGAUGGCAACGUGAUUAUUAGGCUAUCUGAGAGCACCUAGAGGGGGGGUGAAUAGGUGAUCCUGUGAAACUUAAACUUAUCGCCACAAAACUUGGUUAAACGUUAGCACAGUUAAUGCCAAGUGGCUAGAGAUGAGUCUCAACAAAACACAAUACCACAAAAGAUCAACACAGAGAAGACACAGUGGUUUAUCCCGUGGUUCGGCCAAGUACAAAACUUGCCUACUCCACGUUGUGGCGUCCCAACGGACGAGAGUUGCACUCAACUCCUCUCAAGUGAUCCAAUGAUCAACUUGAAUACCACAGUGUUAUGCUUUUCCUUUCAAUAUCCCGUUUGCGAGGAUCUCCACAACUUGGAGUCUCUCGCCCUUACACUUGAGAUUCACAAUGAAAUACGGAGUAAGGGAGGGAAGCAACACACACAAUCCACAGCAAAACGCGCACACACACGGCCAAGAAUCGAGCUCAAAAGACUAUCUCAAAGUUCUCACUAGAACGGAGCUCGAAUCACUGCAAAUGACAAACGGAUGCGCAAAGACUGAGUGUGGAUGAUCAAGAAUGCUCUAAGGUUGCUUGGUGUACUCCUCCAUGCGCCUAGGGGUCCCUUUUAUAGCCCCAAGGCAGCUAGGAGCCGUUGAGAACAAAUCUGGAAGGCCAUCCUUGCCUUCUGUCGUCGGGCGCACCGGACAGUCCGGUGCACACCGGACAGUCCGGUGCACACCGGACACUGUCUGGUGCCCGAUUUCUUUCCUUAAAUGGCGCAGCCGACCGUUGCAGAUCUGGGAGCCGUUGGCGCACCGGACAGUCCGGUGCACACCGGACAGUCCGGUGCCCCCUUCCGACCGUUGGCUCGGCCACGUGUCGCGCACGGAUUCCGCGGCCGACCGUUGGCCCGGCCGACCGUUGGCUCACCGGACAGUCGGUGCACACCGGACAGUCCGGUGAAUUUUAGCCAUACGCCGUCGGCGAUUCCCGAGAGCGACCACUUCGCUCGAGGCAGCCUGGCGCACCGGACACUGUCCGGUGCACCACCGGACACUGUCCGGUGCUCCAGACCGAAACAGCCUCUUGGCUGAACACAGCCAACUCCCCUCUUUUCUUCUUCUUCCUGUUUCUGAUACUUAGACAAGUAUAUUAGUACACAAAACAAUGUACUAAGACAUGGAAACAUACCUUUGCUCCUGAUUUGCACUUUGUCCAUUCAUGGGCAUAGAUUUACAUUUAAGCAUUGUGUUGGCACUCAAUCACCAAAAUACUUAGAAAUGGCCCAAGGGCACAUUUCCUUUCAAUCUCCCCUUUUUGGUGAUUUAUGCCAACACAACAUAAAGCAACUAGAACAAGUGCAAUAUCACUUCAAAUAAAACUCAAUUUAUUUUGAUUCAGUUUUGGCAUAUAUGGAUCAUCCUUUGCCACCACUUGGUUUGUUUUUGCAAAUCAAACUCAAAUCCUAUCUCUAAGUCAAAUCCACUUGUAGAGACUAAAGAGAGGUUUUCCAAAGAAAAUUGAUUCAAUAUUCCAAAAACUCCCCCUAUUUCCCAUAAUCAAUACUUCUCCCCACAAGAAGUCAACUUUUGACAAGAUAGACACAAAAGAGAUUUGACAAACCAAAAGCUCUAUUCUACUGUUUUCAAAAUUCUCAAGUGGUAGCUGAUCAACAAAAGAGAUUUGACAAACCAAAAGCUCUAUUCUACUGUUUCAAAUCUCUCAAGUGGUAGCUGAUCCAUUUAUCACUUUGGCCUUUAUUUUCUCCCCCUUUGGCAUCAAGCACCAAAACGGGAUCAAUCUUGGCCCUUUAACCCCAUUGCCUCACCAAAAUCUUCAAUUAAGAGCAAAUAGGCAAUAAGAGUAUAAAGAUGAACUUGGAAAGUUACUCUUUUCAUCGGAGUGCAGUGGAAGUCUUUCACGGUCCAAGUCCACCUUUCCCUUUCAAACCUUCUUUGAGACUAAAACAAUCAAACUCAAACAAAUGGUUAGUCUCAAGGGUCAAGUUGCAACACGUCUCCCCCUAAACUGUGCAUCACUUUGCAUCGGACUUGUGAGGUCCAGGGAGUGUGUGUACAACUUGAGCACCAAAUAAACAACAAAUGCAAAAAGGAACAUGAUCAAGGGCAUAAACACAUGUAUGCUACAAUUCAAUCCAAGUUCCGCGAAUCUAAGACAUUAAGCUCACUACGCAACCUGCAAAAGGUCUUCUCAUCUAGAGGCUUGGUAAAGAUAUCGGCUAGCUGGUUCUCGGUGCUAACAUGAAACACUUCGAUAUCUCCCUUUUGCUGAUGGUCUCUCAAAAAGUGAUGCCGGAUGUCUAUGUGCUUUGUGCGGCUGUGUUCAACAGGAUUUUCCGCCAUGCGGAUAGCACUCUCAUUAUCACAUAGGAGUGGGACUUUGCUCAGAUUGUAGCCAAAGUCCCGGAGGGUUUGCCUCAUCCAAAGUAGUUGCGCGCAACACUGUCCUGCGGCAACAUACUCGGCCUCAGCGGUGGAUAGGGCAACGGAAGUUUGUUUCUUAGAGUUCCACGAUACCAGGGACCUUCCUAAGAAUUGGCACGUCCCUGAUGUACUCUUCCUAUCGACCUUACAUCCAGCAUAGUCGGAAUCUGAGUAUCCAACCAAGUCAAAGGUAGACCCCUUUGGAUACCAGAGCCCGAAGCAAGGCGUAGCAACCAAAUAUCUAAGAAUUCGCUUCACCGCCACUAAGUGACAUUCCUUAGGAUCGGAUUGAAAUCUAGCACACAUGCAUACGCUAAGCAUAUAUCCGGUCUACUAGCACAUAAAUAAGUAAAGACCCUAUCAUUGACCGGUAUGCUUUUUGAUCAACGGACUUACCUCCUUUGUUGAGGUCGUGUGUCCGUCGGUCCCCAUCGGAGUCUUUGCGGGCUUGGCGUCCUUCAUCCCAAACCGCUUUAGCAGAUCUUGCGUGUACUUCGUUUAGGAGAUGAAGGUGCCGUCCUUGAGUUGCUUCACUUGGAACCCAAGGAAUAGUUCAACUCGCCCAUCAUCGACAUCUCGAAUUUCUGCGUCAUCACCCUGCUAAACUCUUCACAAGACUUUUGGUUAGUAGAACCAAAUAUUAUGUCAUCGACAUAAAUUUGGCACACAAACAAAUCACCAUCACAUGUCUUAGUAAAGAGAGUUGGAUCGGCUUUCCCAACCUUGAAAGCAUUAACAAUUAGAAAGUCUCUAAGGCAUUCAUACCAUGCUCUUGGGGCUUGCUUAAGUCCAUAGAGCGCCUUAGGAGCUUACACACGUGGUCGGGGUACCGUUCAUCCUCGAGCCAGGGGUUGCUCCACGUACACCUCCUCCUUGAUCGGCCCGUUGAGGAAAGCGCUCUUCACAUCCAUUUGGUACAACCUGAAAGAAUGGUGAGCGCAUAUGCUAGCAAGAUACGAAUUGAUUCUAGCCUAGCCACAGGAGCAAACGUCUCCUCAAAGUCCAAACCUGCGACUUGGGCAUAACCUUUUGCCACAAGUCGAGCCUUGUUCCUUGUCACCACCCCGUGCUCGUCCUGUUUGUUGCGGAACACCCACUUGGUUCCCACAACAUUUUGCUUGGACGAGGCACCAGUGUCCAAACUUCAUUGCGCUUGAAGUUGUUGAGUUCCUCCUGCAUGGCCAAUACCCAAUCCGGAUCUAGCAAGGCCUCCUCUACCCUGAAAGGCUCAAUAGAAGAGACAAAAGAGUAAUGCUCACAAAAUUAACUAAUCGAGAUCGAGUAGUUACUCCCUUGCUAAUAUCACCCAGAAUUUGGUCGACGGAUGAUCCCUUUGAAUCAUCGCUCGAACUUGGUUGGAGGUGCCGGUUGCACUUCUUCCUCCAUCACGUGAUCAUCUUGUGCUCCCCUUGAUCACACGCUUCCUUUUGAUGAACCUGUUCAUCGUCUUGAGUUGGGGAUGCACCGUUGUUGAGGAGAAGGUUGAUCUCGUCCAUCUUGUUCCUGUGGCCGCACUUCUCCAAUCGCCAUGGUUCGUAUAGCGGCCGUUGGAACAUCUUCUUCAUCUACAUCAUCACAAUCAACAACUUGCUCUUGGAGAGCCAUUAGUCUCAUCAAAUACAACGUCGCUAGAGACUUCAACCAAACCCGAUGAUUUGUUGAAGACUCUAUACGCCUUUGUAUUUGAGUCAUAACCUACAAAAACCCUUCUACAGCUUUGGGAGCAAACUUAGAUUUCUACCCUUCUUCACUAGAAUGUAGCAUUUGCUCCCAAAUACACGAAAGUAAGAUACAUUGGUUUGUUACCGGUUAGAGCUCAAGGAUCUUCUUGAGGAGGCGAUGAAGGUAGACCUGUGAUGGCGUGGCAAGCCGUGUUCACGGCUUCGACCGAAACCACUCGGGGGUCUUGAGUUCUCCAAGCAUCGUCCUCGCCAUAUCGAUUAGCGUCCUGUCUUCCUCUCUACCACACCAUUUUGCUGUGGUUUAGGAGCGGAGAACUCGGCUUGAUCCCUUCCUCCUCAAGGAACUCCUCACUUGAAGGUUCUUGAACUCGGACCUUGUCGCUCCUUAUCUUCUUCACCUUGAGCUCAAACUCGUUUUGAGCUCUCCUGAGGAAGCGUUUGAGGGUACCUUGGGUUUCAGACUUAUCCUGCAAAAAGAAUACCCAAGUGAAGCGGGAAAAGUCAUCAACAAUAACUAACCAUACUUACUUCCUCCUAUGCUCAGAUAGGCGACGGGUCCGAAGAGGUCCAUAUGCAGCAGCUCCAGUGGUCUUUGAAGUGGUCAUCACAUUCUUGCUGUGAUGCGCUCCUCCCACUUGUUUACCUGCUUGACAAGCUGCACAAGGUCUAUCUUUUUCGAAUUGUACGUUAGUUAAACCUAUCACGUGUUCUCUCCUUUAGAAGCUUGUGAAGGNNNNNNNNNNNNNNNNNNNNNNNNNNNNNNNNNNNNNNNNNNNNNNNNNNNNNNNNNNNNNNNNNNNNNNNNNNNNNNNNNNNNNNNNNNNNNNNNNNNNCGCAUCAACAAGGCGUUGCCACUUCCAUUAGAUAUCCAGAGAUUUAUGUUUGCGCGCAAUUAGUGAACUAUGUCAGAUCUAAGCAAUGGUGUGGGCAAUGUACCGUACUGUGGUAUUUUGGCCAUUUUGUUCAGUUAACAAUUGUAGGAAGCUUCCUUAUAUGUGCUGUUUUCAGAACAAUGUCAUGCUACUUUGUGUUAGGGGUGUUACCCAGGUUCUUUCUGUGAACUUUAGUUGGCUGGAUACUUAUGGUUAUGUCGCGAAUAUGUGAACAUCAGAUGUUUUCACUUCUGUGUGCUUUAAAUAUGAUCUGUUUUUAUGUUCUGAAGAUGUUAUAUGUAUACCUCAUUGCUUAAUACUACCAUCUGUUUAUAUGCGAUUAUCAUACAGGCCAUAUACGAUGUUUCCUACUUCCCAAUUAUGCAACAUUAGUAAGCAAUAUACGCUCUAUUUAUCAGAUUUCAACAACUUUAUAUCUUAGAUUAUUUGUAUCAGAUACAACAGACUAUUCGCGCGCCUGACUCACUGCUGUCGUUUAUCACAGUACUGGUAUAUAGUUUACAAAUUAUACGAUCAUCCCACAAGUUAUAUACGCUGAUUUGUAGUUCCAGUUACGCAAGAUUAUUAAGCAAUAUACGCACCAUUUAUUAGAUUUCAAUAUCCACCUCUAUAUAAAUCAGUUGCCAAACAAGCAAGGUUUAUUGUAAAAAACAAAUUAAUCGUAUCUCAUACAACAUUCUAAUCACUGUCUGACUCACUACUAUCGAACUCAUUUGUGUGUUUUUUAGAUGUUGUUGUCUCAUUCCAAUCAGGAGCUUUACUGCCACCCUUGUUCCUAGAUCCUGGAGGUCGUCCUCUCUUACGUCCAGCAAGGCUUGCCAACCUUUGUCUAUUUUCCUCCAUUGACAAACAUGUCCUACUGUUGUGACCAUCAGCAAUUCCACACUUCUGACAUUUCCUGGUCAUUUUCUUUGUACUUUAGCUCCCAAUUUAAUAACCCUUUCUUUACUCCCCUUUAUUGUUCUUCCUUUGGGUCUUGAGUUAUUUGGUCUUGCCAAGCUUAUCCCAUCGACUGCAAAUUCCAGUUUCUGCAAUUCAAAAGUAAAUACUUCUCAGCAUAUAAUAUUAUGUAGUCCAACAUACAGUAUUUAUACCAUUAUUACCUUUCUGGCAUUAUCAUUUUGUUCACUGACACCACUAACAUUCAUUAUUGCGUGGUCAUGCAAAUUAAUCUGUAAUUGACAACACAUUUUGUUAAGCUCAAUCAUAACCCAAUAACUCAAACGUAUAAAUCAUGUAUAUGUAUACCUGCAAAUCAGUAAAGUUGUUAAAGAUAUUACCUCUUCUAAUGGACGUACUGGUAUAUGUAUUUGAUCAUUGGCCACACCUUGUUCAAGUAUAAUAGAUACGUCUUGAAUUUCCUGAAAAUUUGGAUGAAAGAUCAUUAUACAUCAUUUACAAAUAAACAUUAACAACAGAACGAUUCAAACCUUGUUAUUCCUUUCGUCAAAUUCAUCAUCCUUUUCGUUGUCUCUAUUGGCUUCAUCAUCGUCCUGAGAUUUUAUUGUUUCACACCUCAUCAAUAUAAUAUGAUUAAUAAUAUGUUACAACAUACAUAUUAAAACAUUACAUACCUGUAUAUCAUCUCCUCCACUAGUUCCACAAGUUUCCUCAACGUCUAUAUCUGUUUCCAAACGCGAAAGUACUUCGAGAAGCUCAUCCAUUACUGUUAGGGCUCUAUCAUUUCCUGCUUUGGAUAAACUAGCAUGAUGCACUACUUUCAUUGCCUUUUUAAGCAACAUCUUCUGUCUAUAUGACUUAGUUUCUCCAUCCUUCCCUUCAAAUUCCUAUCAUCUCUUGAAAACGGAACAUCUUGCCUUGCAGAGGUGGUGUAUCUUUGUAAAAUAUAUUCUUUCAGUAUCCGGUCAAUCUGAAGAUGCAUAAACGCGCGUAGUACAUGUACACAGAAUAGCCCUAUAAAACAAUAAUGAUCUUAAGAUUUUGUUCAUAUGUUUUCAAUGUAUAUAUUUACUUUGUAGUACUCCAUACCUGUAUGUUCCCAAUGUUUGCAUUCACAAGUAUACUUUCCUGCAUCUUCCAUCAGCUGUGACUUUGAAUUGGUGCUGUCCCCAAACAAUUUUAUUCGAUCUAGUUGUAUGUUGCACUACCCAAUCAUGUGCACCCCCUUCUUCGUCAUGCAUUAUCUUGAAUGCGGUGGCAUAUUUCAAAGAUUCCUGGAAUCUACACAUCAUAGCCCUUGUGUAUGCUCUUGCAACCCUUAUCUCAAACAUGUAUAGCGUGUUCGUUUCCUUUUGACCCUGUGGCAUAUAUAAUGCAAAUUAGUUUACACUUAUAUUAAAGUAUCAAUAUACGACAUAACAAUUUAUCCUCACCAUGCUUCCCACUGCUUCUUUUGACUCUUUCAUCUUUCUACUGUGUAGAAGUUUCAUCAUUUGCUUGGCGAAUUGAUGAAGCGGAGUAUUUGCAUCAACAUGUGCACUUUUGACAAGCCUGUUCAUGCUUUCGCUACGCUGUGUAGACAACAUUAGACCACAAUAAUGAUUUUUAAAAAAAGCAGGCACCCAAUCCUUACGUAUUCCAUACAGCUUAUCCAGAGUACUGUUAUCGUGCAGAUCAAAAUCUUCAAGUAGCAUUGACCAUGCAGUCUCAAACUCCAACUCAGUCAAAGGAUGAUGUAUUAUAGAUUGAAACCGUGUCUUAAAGUCCAUUUCCUCAAAUCUUGCAUACAACUCGUUUAGAAAAGGCAUAUACCUAUUUUGCACAUGCCAUAGACAUAAACGAUGUAUUGUGUGCGGGAAAACCCUCUCGAGGGCUACUGGCAUUGCAGGAUCUUGAUCUGCAAACAUAUAUGACACAAUUGUACGAAUCUUAUUCCAUGUUAUAUAAAGAAAAUAAUAUCUAAUUUAAGCCAUAGUUGAUGUAUAUACAUUUAAUUCAUUAUUAUCAGUCGUACCUGUCAGCAUCACUCGUGGACCUUCGGUUCCCAUGCAUGUUUUGAAGGCGUUGAAUACCCAUUCAAUUGUAUCAACAGUUUCAUCCCCCAACAAUGCGAAAGCAAAUAUAGUGCAAUGUAGGUGGUGAUUUGAACCAACAAACAUACCUAGUGGUUUUUCAUACAGAUUAGUCUUAUGUGUUGUGUCAAAUGUAACCGCAUCACCAAAAUCAAUGUAAUCCCCUUGCUGGCUUGCAUGUGACCAAAAUAUGCUUAAAAUCUUGCCUUCUUUAUCCAAUUGGAAGUCAGAGAAAAAUUGUGGAUUAUCCUUUUUGCAGGAUGCAAAAAAGGAUAGUAGCUUUGCCACAUCAUUUGCAUUUCUUUCUCGUUGCUUUGCCUUUUUCCUGAAAUUAUUGUGAGAAUUUAGCAUUAGCAGAAACAACAACCAGCAUAUAUCAUUUAUGUAUAUCAAUCGGAACAUAUCAUAAACUUACAGGUUAUACAUGUCCUGUGCUGUUACAGGCACACUCUCAGGACCACCGUGCAUUUCUGAUACAUAAUCCAUAAUACAAUGUUGCGGGAUUCGACUCUCUUGCAUUGAACUUAUGAACUCCAUGUAUUCAGGAUCAUGCGUCUUGUUGCAUUGUAAUUGAUUCUUUUCGGUAUCCUUUUUAAAAAAUUCAUGAUUAUGAUCCAAGUGCAACAGAUCAAUACGCACUGAUAUAACUGUCUCUUUUGCAUCAUCAUAAAUUUUUUUAAGUUUCAUACCGGCCUUGCAUUGUGUCCGUUUCGAACUGGUACUACGUACCUUUGGGUUUGAUAUUCCCCUUACUGAUCUUUUGCCUUCCAUCGAGCAAUUCAACCACUUACAAUUUUUCCGUUCUCUAUACUUUUUCAAUGGAAAUCCAACUUCAUAUGCAUACCUACUAUAAAAUUUAUAUGCUUCAUCCACCCCACUGAAUGUCAUACCAACUUUAGGUACUAAUCUCGGAUCAAUUGUAACUUCCUGUGCAAAAAAUAUAAAUUGUAUCAUCUAUGGUACCCUACAUAUUUUUAUGUUGUGUGUAGAACAUAACAAUUUUCAGCCAAAAGUUUCACAGUGUAUGCACAAUAUAAAUACUUAAUGUCACACCAUCUCUAGCUGCCUUAUACUGUAUACAAUUCAACGUUCAAUACUGAAAAUUCAAAUCAGUUCAAUAUUACUUACAUGUCUCUGCAGAAUCACUGGUGUGUCUUGUUCAUGAUCACCAAUAGUACGCAUAGUAUUAAGGUGCUGCCCUCCUUCAGUUACUGUCAUCCUUGAUGCCUCAAAUAUGGUCUGUUCAUCAACCCCUGGGGCCCUCAAAGCUGCCGGUGGAGUAAUUGCGUUUACAGCAGUAGCUGAUUCUGUAUGCGUAAUUCCAUCUGACGCUAACUGGUACCCUCCUUGUUCUUCUUCCUGCACCAUUGUUACGAUAUCCAAGCAUUGAUUUUGUCUAUGAACAGACGUCGGCGUCGCAUACUCACUUAUGGUCUUGUUUCCCCAUGGCGCCGCCAUCUUCCAGAUCAAAAUCGCCGUUCACCCAGCAGCGCAAUAUCAAAUGAUGCGUACUCACCACUUCUCUGGAAGAUUAUGAUUUUUUUCCCUAUACCAAACGUAUAUCCAAUAUCGUGGACGCAUAUUUCACGGCGCAUAUCCAUUACCCGCUUAAUUUUAGGAUCGUGGCCGCGCUGAUCGUGGGCGAUCUGUUCGGGGGAGUAACAGACAUCUAUGCAAUGUUAUGAAUACAUUUACGGUGUCGUAACGGUCUGUUUAAAUGCGCUUCCCCCUUUUACGGGUUACACGUCACCGAUCCACGUACGAACACGUCGCCCACGUUGGUUUACGCAUAUUUGUACAAGCAAUUAUACUUGCAUAACUGUACUGCAUUAAAACGGGCCGCCUGGAUCGAUCCAUUCGGUUCGACCACGUUCGGCUCGUCCGGCUGGGGCUCCGCGCACCCAUAUGAAGCCCAGGGCUUCCAUUACCAACGCCCUAUAUAUAUAUAUAUAUAUAUAUAUAUAUAUAUAUAUAUAUAUAUAUAUAUAUAUAUAUAUAUAUAUAUAUAUAUAUAUAUAUAUAUAUAUAUAUAUAUAUAUAUAUAUAUAUAUAUUACACCUGGGUGCAUUCAAUAUAGAGAAUGCACUCAGGCCGAACCUACGCGCCAGGUCCGAGCCAACCGUUCCACCUAGGCCGUCUUCGUCCCUCUCGCACGUCUUCGUCCCUCCCGCACGCUCCCGACAGAACCUUUUCACUUUCCCGCCCACGCCCCUCUUUCUCCACGAAUGGCUCAACCUCUUCACAUAAGUUGCAAUCACACCAGACCAGCAGUUGCAAUUACACCAAGCAGCAGUUGCAAUCACACCAGACCAGCAGUUGCAAUUACACCAGAGAGCAGUUGCAAUCAUUGUUUGUUUAACAGAUUUUUGGACAUAGUUAUAUAGAAGUUGCAAUCGCACCAGACUAGCAGUUGCAAUUACACCAGACCAGCAGUUGCAAUCAUUGUUUGUUUAACAGAUUUUUGGACAUAGUUAUAUAGAAGUUGCAAUCGCACCAGACUAGCAGUUGCAAUUACACCAGACCAGCAGUUGCAAUCAUUGUUUGUUUAACAGAUUUUUGGACAUAGUUAUAUAGAAGUUGCAAUCACACCACACCAGCAGUUGCAAUUACAACACAUCAGCAGUUGCAAUCAUUUUGUUUACAUUUUUUAACAGAUAUUUGGGUAGAAUUAUACAACAGUUGCAAUCACACCUAAUGCGGGGGACAGGGAGGCGCGCGGCGGCACGGAGACAGGGAGGCGCUCGGCGGCGGUGGGGAGAGAGGGUGGCGCGGGGACACGGAGGAACACGGCGGCGGGGGGCAGGGAGGCGCGCAUACAGGAGGGCCGAGGACGUGCUCAGGGUGUUAUUGCAGGUGGGUGCAUUCAAUGUAGAGAAUGCACCCAUGUGCAUAUAUAUAUAUAUAUAUAUAUAUAUAUAUAUAUAUAUAUAUAUAUAUAUAUAUAUAUAUACACUACAUCAUAAGAAUACAGUGAGGGCGUCCACAGGCACCGUGCCCCCGCCCCCGGCUCUCGCUCGCGACCUCCCGCACGUCACGCCAUCCCUCGCUCCCUCUCCCGAUGCCCAAAUUUGCGCCGCAUUGCCGCGCCCGUCCAUCCUUGACCUGUGCUCCUGCCCGCGCCCCCGUCACCCCCUUCUUCCCCCGCACAGGUUCUCUCCCACCGCCACCUCCUUUCCGGCUUCGUCAGGCUGUGGCCGCCACUCUUCCUCCCCGUCGUCGCUCUCUCCGCGAGCCGCCACGUGCGCCCUCACCCUCUCUGCGCGUGAGCCUCAGGGCGUUCUCCAUAGGCAGGUCGCCCUCACGACCCCUCCUCUCCCUCUCUCCGCGCGCUCACAACCCCUCCUCUCCCUCUCUCUCCGCACGCGCCGCUCGUCGCCCACUGCUCUCCCACAUAGGGUUACCCUUCACCCCACAUCCUAUUGUUUGAUCUGAUCUCGUCACGUCCAACAACGAUGGAAACAAGUCGUACUAGCCGUGAUGGGGCCCGAUCGACACCAGCAGCCGGCGGAUGGGAUCGCUGCCCCGCUCUCGCCGUCGUUGCCCCAUUGGUGGAGGCACGGUCAGCACCUGCAACCGGCAGAUGGGAUCUCCGCCCCGCCCCUCGCCGUCGUUGCCCCAUCUGUGGAGCACCUCGUGGCUGGGGUUGUGCCGCCCAUGGCGACCAACCAACUCACCCUCUUUUUCCAUGGCGAGUUGCAUUCCAGGCAGAUGGACUCGCACAGUGUUGGUUCUCUUUGUCUCCCCUAAAAUGGCCCCUCCUCUUCUACCCUCUAUAGAUGUGAACUUGUUUUCUCUGCUUGUAGUCAAUUCAAUUAGCAAAAUUGAUGAGAGCUAUUGGUUUCGUCCGUAGGUCCAAGCCGUGCUUUUGCUGCUUGGAGGGAGAGAGCUGAGCAGGCUGGGUGGAGCAUCGUCCUCUACACCUUAUAGUAAGGUUAGUGUAAUUGAUGUUGAAUCUUAUGUAUAAUGCCCAUUUCAUCAAUCUGAUUACACUGCAUGGUAAUGAUACAUGAAACAUAUUGUGCUUUCUAUUUUUUAUUAAAUAAAGGACUGCACUAUCAUUUGUAGCAUGAUUUAAUUAACAUAUUGUCCUAUGAUUCACAACUUUUGUAGCAUGAUUUUAUUCAUACAGUUCAUUUUUUCUUGUUCAGUAGUCAGCACGUUGGUCUAAAAUUCCAGUUUCAGUAAAGUUGCAUUGCCUCAUUUAUUUGAUCUCUACAUCAAUACUUCGCUGAUUUACAUAUCACCAUGAUAUAGCUUGAAUUUUAAACAUCUUAACAGGUAUAUGCAUGUACAUAAUGUUGGAAUACUUGUUGAACUGAAAUUGAAAACUGAAUACUUGUAGCAGCUGUUCUGUUCGCCUUAUCACUAGGAAAGCAGUACACUGGAUGGGAGCAUGUUUCUGAUCGACAGCUAAUUAUUUGGCUUCAGUUGAGUAUUACGAUUAUUUACAGUAUCAGAUGGAAAUACUAGAUGGGAAUGGAUGUUUCUAACAGUCUGUUAACCCUCCUCUUCAGUUCAAGAUUGUGAUGAUUUGUAGUACUAAAUUGGAGGCUUCGAUCCCCUGCAAUUUAUGUGGUACAAGUAAGGGUUUUGUGUGAGAAGGCGAAUGAGAUUCUAAUGGAGGAAAGAAAUGUUCAGGUUUGCUAUUUUGAUCACUUUGAAUUAAUAUUACCAGCAAUUCCAUUCUAUGACCAUUUGAGAUAUCUUGUUUGGGUCUGCUUAACAUUAAUUCAAACUAACGGUUAGCAGCUAAAAUUAGCUGAGUGGUUCAGAACAGACCAGCCAAUAAACCAUAUAAUUGUUAGUUAUAUCUCUUAAAUUAGCUGAGUUUUUUUUUGACAUAUCUGUGGUUCUCUUCUUCUUCAGUGUUCUGACGUUCUGUCAUACAACGUAGCGGUAUGUAACGUAUCUGCCCGCCGUCUCGCUGGGCCUGAUGAUCUUCACGACCUGGCCUCGCCUGAGGCCGUAGUAUCUAGCAAUUGGAUCCAUGAUCUGUAUUCUAGGAAGCUGUUGGUCCGAUAUGCAUUCAGAAAAAAAGAAAAGGAAGGGUUACAGACUUCAAGGGAUGUAUAUUGCUUGGAAUGCACGGCAAAAAUGCACAGAGACUGUCAUAAAACUGGUCUGUUCUGUUGUUAAGAGUGCAGAGAAUGAUGUCAUCAUCUGACGGCCUGACCCUUGUAUUUGCUGCCUCUUUCUUUCUCGGAAGAGAUAAUAGUGAUCACUUUGGCCUGUGAACAUGUGAUAAGCUCCUAAACACUGCUCUUGCGUGAAACUAACUCCACCCAAGAAAGUUCUAGACUUGUUUAGAGCUCGACACCUCCAAAUGGAAAUGCAUUUCCUAACAAAUCUAACUAUACUUAUUUAGGCCCAUUCCAAACCUCUACAGUUAAUUAUUAGUCAACUAAUAAGUUAUUUGGCUGGUUUUAGCUGGGUUAGAGCAGAUAACAACUGUUAUAUAGCUAUUUAAGAGAUAUAACUAACAAUUAUAUGGUUUAUUGGCUGGUCUGUUCUGAACCACUCAGCUAAUUUUAGCUGCUAACCGUUAGUUUGAGGUUUGGAACACGACCUUAGUAUAAAAAAACAAUAAUAUAUUUUCAUAUCUGUACUUGUUUCGACUAAAUGAUUUCUGUAACUGUUUUCAGAACUGGAGAAGCACAUUGAAGACAUGCAUGUCCUGAUUACCACCCCAUUCCACCCAGCUUAUGUCACUGCAGAGAGGAUAAAGAAGGCGAAGAAUCUUGAGCUUCUUCUCACGGCAGGAAUCGGCUCCGAUCAUAUUGAUCUUCCAGCAGCUGCUGCUGCGGGCUUAACUGUGGCUGAGGUCACUGGAAGCAACACUGUCUCUGUGGCAGAAGAUGAGCUCUUGCGCAUUCUGAUUCUGCUCAGGAACUUCUUGCCUGGGUACCAACAGGUAGUUCAAGGCGAAUGGAACGUAGCAGGCAUUGCCCACAAAGCUUAUGAUCUUGAAGGAAAAACUGUUGGGACUGUUGGGGCUGGUCGUAUUGGCAGGCUCUUGCUUCAGCGUCUUAAGCCCUUUAACUGCAACCUACUUUACCAUGAUAGACUUCAGAUUGACCCAGAGCUUGAGAAAGAAAUUGGGGCCAAAUUUGAGGAGGACCUGGAUGCUAUGCUUCCAAAGUGUGAUGUGAUUGUGAUCAACACACCUCUUACGGAGAAAACAAGGUUUGUAUUCAUCAUGUACCUGACAUUUCCAAAAUAGUUUGACAGUAUUUUCUGAGUUUUGUUUGCUGUUUUUUUUUCAGAGGCAUGUUUAACAAAGAGAGGAUUGCAAAGAUGAAGAAAGGUGUAAUUGUUGUGAAUAAUGCUCGAGGAGCAAUCAUGGAUGCUCGAGCAGUCGCAGAUGCAUGUUCUAGCGGUCACAUUGCUGGUACUUACUACGUUAAUAUGUUUUCUUUGUCUCUUUACACAACAAUAUUGCUACAUAAGUUAGUCUGAUUCUACUGAAGGGGUCCAUGAAUUAAUAUUAUUUUCCUUAAGCUUGGCAUGCUUUGUAUUCCGUGGCUUCAGUACGAAAACUUCAAAUGAGCCGUUUUGCUUUCCUGAAAAGACACCCUGCCUACAUUUUAUCUGAAGAAUAGGGAAAUAAUGCGACUAUAUUCCUACAUUGACCGGUACUUUGUGUAACAUGGAGCAUCUCAUUCCCAUUUCUCAGGAUAUGGUGGUGAUGUGUGGUUCCCACAGCCAGCACCAAAGGAUCACCCCUGGCGCUACAUGCCUAACCAUGCCAUGACCCCUCACAUCUCUGGGACUACAAUUGAUGAGCAGGUCAGGUUCUGAGUUUUGUUACCUGAGUUUGAAAAUCUAUCUAAUUCUAAUACCUCAUAGGACACUAGGUCUCUGCUUCAUGCAUUAGCAGAACUCAAUAGAAUGGCAAUCACCUUAAGGCUUUACUGGAUUAAAAUCGUACUGAGAACUGGAAUAAUUAGCUAAUAGUGUGUAUGUGUACCUUGAGUCCUUGACGACAUGUACACUGAUAGCGCAUUUUUCAUGAUGAGUAUUUGCUAUUCGUUCUCGUGCAUGCUGCUGACUAUUGCGGGCAAACAAACAAUUCAUACAGCUGCGGUAUGCGGAUGGUGUGAGGGACAUGCUGGAUAGGUAUUUCAAGGGCGAGGACUUCCCGGUGCAGAACUACAUCGUCAAGGAAGGCCAGCUCGCCAGUCAGUACCAGUGACCGCGCGAGAUGUUGCUGUGCUGUGUAGGCUUUUCUGGUGAGAAGUUGCGAGGAAGAAACUCCUGUUGCGUACUUGUGUUACUGUAUGAGUAGCUCUGAGAAAUCUGUCAGCGGCCACCUGUAAUAAAAGAAUGCCUUGCUGGUAUCUCACCGUGGAGAUCAAUAAGUCCCUUUUUUCCUUCUCUGUUCACUGAACUGCAUGCACUGUCUUUUUUCGGCUGCGACAACGCAAAUGGCAACGAACUGCAUGCGUUAUGCCAUUUGUCACAUGUUUGGUUCAACACGCACGUGGUAAUGAAAUCAGGUUGCACUGUAACCAGAGAUGGGAUCAGAGUGCCUCCGGCGGGGUAACCUGUUUUCAAAGAGAGAAAAAACCUAAUGCGGCACAGAAAUGGCCUAGCAAGGAUUCUAAUGCUUAGCUUCUGUUUCCAUAUCAAGUUUAUGUCAUAAUUACUUUUUUAAACUGUUGGAUUUAUUUUGGAAAUUAGGGUGUGUUCAUUUCUGUGUCGCAUUCAUGGUUCCAAAUUGAUUUGGGUUUGGUGUUCAUUUAUCUUUGCAUGUGUUGCAGUGAAGGAGGAAUGGGUGGAGGGACGAGCAAGAUGGCAACGU